Molecule: ribosomal RNA, 465 nt
Filed under: Vreelandella stevensii
Lineage: Bacteria; Pseudomonadati; Pseudomonadota; Gammaproteobacteria; Oceanospirillales; Halomonadaceae
Description: partial 16S ribosomal RNA
Rfam family: Bacterial small subunit ribosomal RNA
Source: RNAcentral
CCUACGGGGGGCUGCAGUGGGGAAUAUUGGACAAUGGGGGGAACCCUGAUCCAGCCAUGCCGCGUGUGUGAAGAAGGCCCUCGGGUUGUAAAGCACUUUCAGUGAGGAAGAACGCCUGGUGGUUAAUACCCAUCAGGAAAGACUUCACUCACAGAAGAAGCACCGGCUAACUCCGUGCCAGCAGCCGCGGUAAUACGGAGGGUGCGAGCGUUAAUCGGAAUUACUGGGCGUAAAGCGCGCGUAGGUGGCUUGAUAAGCCGGUUGUGAAAGCCCCGGGCUCAACCUGGGAACGGCAUCCGGAACUGUCAAGCUAGAGUGCAGGAGAGGAAGGUAGAAUUCCCGGUGUAGCGGUGAAAUGCGUAGAGAUCGGGAGGAAUACCAGUGGCGAAGGCGGCCUUCUGGACUGACACUGACACUGAGGUGCGAAAGCGUGGGUAGCAAACAGGAUUAGAUACCCCUGUAGUC